RNAcentral lists this ribosomal RNA (468 nucleotides) under uncultured bacterium. RNAcentral describes it as "partial 16S ribosomal RNA". It matches the Rfam family "Bacterial small subunit ribosomal RNA", at positions 28 to 507 of the family's 1533-position model. The record is from RNAcentral.
GACGAACGCUGGCGGCGCGCUUAACACAUGCAAGUCGAACGGAAAGGCCCUGCUUUUGUGGGGUGCUCGAGUGGCGAACGGGUGAGUAACACGUGAGUAUCCUGCCCUUGACUUUGGGAUAACUUCAGGAAACUGGGGCUAAUACCGGAUAGGAGCUCCUGCUGCAUGGUGGGGGUUGGAAAGUUUCGGCGGUUGGGGAUGGACUCGCGGCUUAUCAGCUUGUUGGUGGGGUAGUGGCUUACCAAGGCUUUGACGGGUAGCCGGCCUGAGAGGGUGACCGGCCACAUUGGGACUGAGAUACGGCCCAGACUCCUACGGGAGGCAGCAGUGGGGAAUAUUGCACAAUGGGCGGAAGCCUGAUGCAGCAACGCCGCGUGCGGGAUGACGGCCUUCGGGUUGUAAACCGCUUUCGCCUGUGACGAAGCGUGAGUGACGGUAAUGGGUAAAGAAGCACCGGCUAACUACGUG